Molecule: unclassified non-coding RNA, 1052 nt
Filed under: Leishmania donovani
Lineage: Eukaryota; Euglenozoa; Kinetoplastea; Trypanosomatida; Trypanosomatidae
Description: gene:unknown
Source: RNAcentral
GCAGCCACCACCUCAUGCUCUCUUUCCAUCAUCUUGCGCACGCCGUUCGCGAUAACUGCCGCUUUAACUAUCCCGCGCGACGACUUUUACUGUAUUUUCUUCUUGUUUGCUUCACUGCGAAUUCGCUGUUGGGCACACCUCCUUUCCCUUGUGCAUUUGCGUGCACCUCUUUGGCGCGCAUCGUUUUGCUCGUGCUGUGUGUCUUGACUUCGCGGCUCUGCUCCCCUACGCCAUGAGCUCCCUGGCUGGUGCUCGCCCGCGUGCCGUUGAGUGCGACUCUCUGCCACCACCUCCUCCCUCUACGGGACGAUAUAUAUAUAUAUAUAUAUUCAGCCCAUCAAGCACAUGUGUGCCCGAGUACACAUUAGCCUUUCGGAUACCCCCGUGCAGUGUCACUUUUUUUAUCGCUCUCGCUUCGAUUUCUUAUUACACGUCUCCGUGCACCCGCGUCUGAUGACAGGGAGGGGGCGCACGCCUCAGCGCGUCGUAUCCUCAGGGCCCCGCACACCGACUCCGCCGGGAAGCCAGGCAGCCUCCCAGCCCCCUAUCCAUUGCCCAUGCCGAGCUACUUCCGGCGGUGACACGGUCACGCGCCCACGAAGUGGGGUGGGGGUGGAGGUGAGAGCGAUGUGCUGCUGCUGAUGUCUGCGGUGGGAGACUGGAUGGCGCUGCGUCGGAGCGGGCUGCGGCAGCGAGCACGUCUGCGCCGCCCACAUGAUGGACGAGGCGUGAGCGUGGCUGGAGGAUAUCCCACCCGGCGCUGGCACUGCCUCCUGGUGUGGGGAGCCUGCGCCACGGCGAGGGGGAUGCGCCAGGAGGGGUGGCGGCCGGCGGAGCGGGUGGUUUGCAGAGCUGGAGGCAGCGGCCGUGCUUGUGUGCCUGGGUGGGCGCAGCGCUGUGACGCGUGUGCCCACCGCUGCCUCGUCCCGCGCGGUGUGACCUGUGGCAUGUGACGGGGAGAGGUGGGGGCGCAUCGCGGAGGUGGAGUCGUGUUGCGCGGCAGAGGAUGGAGGUGGUGGGGAAAAGCUGAUCGCGGGAGUCGAACGAAGCAG